GGGUUCGAUUCAGGUUCCUUGUGGUACUGAGAUGGAUCAGAAGGCGUCCUUGUCCCUUGAUGACUUGAUGUCGUACACCAUGCCAUCUAACACCUCUUUUAUGCAGGCAUGGGCCAAACAACUAGAUUACUUGGGAAAAUAUGCUGGUAGUCAUUUCUGUUCGGCUAGCAUCAGGCGGUUGUUCGGAGCAACCAAGUCUCAGCCGUUAAUGAGAUCAAAUAGGUCUUGUCCAAAAGAUUGAAAAACACGGGCUUCUGGAAAUGAGGCGUGAUGCUGUUUAUAUUCACAAGAAAGUUGUAAGGUGCAAGUGCUCCAUUGCUUUAUCAUAGAAAGACAAACUUUACAAAGAAACCUUGGAGUGUGAGGCGGCUGUCUGGUGACCGCAAACUUGUGGAGGAAUUGCUUGUAGCCUCAUUGAACAGGUACAGUUUUUAAUCAGAAAAAGCCUCAUGCUAUCAACCUAACAUAAUGAUCUAUGAGAGAAGCGAGUGUUCAUACAUUUGCGAACUUCUUACGUUCAAAAUGCAGGAAAAGAAAGAAUGCUUUGUGCCAUGCCUCUGCAUGUAACAGUUUAUUUAGGCAGCAUACUGCUUUUAAACUUCUAUGAACAACUUGAUAGACUUUGCCUUUCUAUAUCUGCUGCAGAUAUUUCUUGUUCCGAACUGUUCCUUGCUACAAGG
This is a long non-coding RNA of Argentina anserina (silverweed cinquefoil), 680 nucleotides long. RefSeq lists it as uncharacterized. The record is from RefSeq and is a predicted model, not a curated record. The transcript is spliced from 3 exons. NCBI's taxonomy places the organism in Eukaryota, Viridiplantae, Streptophyta, Magnoliopsida, Rosales, Rosaceae.